UUUAAAGUUUGUGGUGCAGGAGCGCGCGGACAAUUCUCUACCUAGUUAAUGGGCUGUAGAAGCUAUAAUAUUGGGAACUUCUGCAUGCUAAUUUACAGUAUAUUCUUAAGAUACUAUACUUUUGAAAUAUCGAAAAAAAUCGUUUUCUUUGAAAAUUCUGCACGUAUUUAACCCUUGAGCCUUUAUACAUACGAAAACAAUUGAUUCACGGCGUUUUGCUUUACGGCCAAGUUUUCCCGAACCUACCUGGGCCGUUCAGCGAGUUUUGAAAGCCAAAUCUGCGUCCUGUGGAGUCAUGGUGUUAUUUUUAACCAAACUAGUCUUUGGCUGAAGUACA
Molecule: long non-coding RNA, 337 nt
Organism: Anastrepha obliqua
Lineage: Eukaryota; Metazoa; Arthropoda; Insecta; Diptera; Tephritidae
Exons: 3
Source: RefSeq, a predicted model, not a curated record